RNAcentral lists this ribosomal RNA (491 nucleotides) under uncultured bacterium. Its description in RNAcentral is "partial 16S ribosomal RNA". It matches the Rfam family "Bacterial small subunit ribosomal RNA", at positions 28 to 507 of the family's 1533-position model. The record is from RNAcentral.
GAUGAACGCUGGCUACAGGCUUAACACAUGCAAGUCGAGGGGAAACGACGGGGAAGCUUGCUUCCCCGGGCGUCGACCGGCGCACGGGUGAGUAACGCGUAUCCAACCUGCCUCUGACUGAGGGAUAACCCGUCGAAAGUCGGCCUAAUACCUCAUGGUAUCGUCUGCGGGCAUCCAACGACGAUUAAAGAUUUCAUCGGUCAGGGAUGGGGAUGCGUCUGAUUAGCUUGUUGGCGGGGUAACGGCCCACCAAGGCUACGAUCAGUAGGGGUUCUGAGAGGAAGGUCCCCCACAUUGGAACUGAGACACGGUCCAAACUCCUACGGGAGGCAGCAGUGAGGAAUAUUGGUCAAGGGGCGAGAGCCUGAACCAGCCAAGUAGCGUGCAGGAAGACGGCCCUAUGGGUGGUAAACUGCUUUUAUGCGGGGAUAAAGUGAGGGACGUGUCCCUCAUUGCAGGUACCGCAUGAAUAAGGACCGGCUAAUUCCGUG